GGGUUGUGAGGUUAAGCGACUAAGCGUACACGGUGGAUGCCCUGGCAGUCAGAGGCGAUGAAGGACGUGCUAAUCUGCGAUAAGCGUCGGUAAGGUGAUAUGAACCGUUAUAACCGGCGAUUUCCGAAUGGGGAAACCCAGUGUGAUCCGUCACACUAUCAUUAACUGAAUCCAUAGGUUAAUGAGGCGAACCGGGGGAACUGAAACAUCUAAGUACCCCGAGGAAAAGAAAUCAACCGAGAUUCCCCCAGUAGCGGCGAGCGAACGGGGAGGAGCCCAGAGCCUGAAUCAGUAUGUGUGUUAGUGGAAGCGUCUGGAAAGGCGUGCGAUACAGGGUGACAGCCCCGUACACAAAAAUGCACAUGCUGUGAGCUCGAUGAGUAGGGCGGGACACGUGGUAUCCUGUCUGAAUAUGGGGGGACCAUCCUCCAAGGCUAAAUACUCCUGACUGACCGAUAGUGAACCAGUACCGUGAGGGAAAGGCGAAAAGAACCCCGGCGAGGGGAGUGAAAAAGAACCUGAAACCGUGUACGUACAAGCAGUGGGAGCCUCUUUAUGGGGUGACUGCGUACCUUUUGUAUAAUGGGUCAGCGACUUAUAUUCUGUAGCAAGGUUAACCGAAUAGGGGAGCCGAAGGGAAACCGAGUCUUAACUGGGCGUUAAGUUGCAGGGUAUAGACCCGAAACCCGGUGAUCUAGCCAUGGGCAGGUUGAAGGUUGGGUAACACUAACUGGAGGACCGAACCGACUAAUGUUGAAAAAUUAGCGGAUGACUUGUGGCUGGGGGUGAAAGGCCAAUCAAACCGGGAGAUAGCUGGUUCUCCCCGAAAGCUAUUUAGGUAGCGCCUCGUGAAUUCAUCUCCGGGGGUAGAGCACUGUUUCGGCAAGGGGGUCAUCCCGACUUACCAACCCGAUGCAAACUGCGAAUACCGGAGAAUGUUAUCACGGGAGACACACGGCGGGUGCUAACGUCCGUCGUGAAGAGGGAAACAACCCAGACCGCCAGCUAAGGUCCCAAAGUCAUGGUUAAGUGGGAAACGAUGUGGGAAGGCCCAGACAGCCAGGAUGUUGGCUUAGAAGCAGCCAUCAUUUAAAGAAAGCGUAAUAGCUCACUGGUCGAGUCGGCCUGCGCGGAAGAUGUAACGGGGCUAAACCAUGCACCGAAGCUGCGGCAGCGACACUAUGUGUUGUUGGGUAGGGGAGCGUUCUGUAAGCCGUUGAAGGUGUGCUGUGAGGCAUGCUGGAGGUAUCAGAAGUGCGAAUGCUGACAUAAGUAACGAUAAAGCGGGUGAAAAGCCCGCUCGCCGGAAGACCAAGGGUUCCUGUCCAACGUUAAUCGGGGCAGGGUGAGUCGACCCCUAAGGCGAGGCCGAAAGGCGUAGUCGAUGGGAAACAGGUUAAUAUUCCUGUACUUGGUGUUACUGCGAAGGGGGGACGGAGAAGGCUAUGUUGGCCGGGCGACGGUUGUCCCGGUUUAAGCGUGUAGGCUGAUUUUCCAGGCAAAUCCGGAGAAUCAAGGCUGAGGCGUGAUGACGAGGCACUACGGUGCUGAAGCAACAAAUGCCCUGCUUCCAGGAAAAGCCUCUAAGCAUCAGGUAACAUCAAAUCGUACCCCAAACCGACACAGGUGGUCAGGUAGAGAAUACCAAGGCGCUUGAGAGAACUCGGGUGAAGGAACUAGGCAAAAUGGUGCCGUAACUUCGGGAGAAGGCACGCUGAUAUGUAGGUGAAGCGACUUGCUCGUGGAGCUGAAAUCAGUCGAAGAUACCAGCUGGCUGCAACUGUUUAUUAAAAACACAGCACUGUGCAAACACGAAAGUGGACGUAUACGGUGUGACGCCUGCCCGGUGCCGGAAGGUUAAUUGAUGGGGUCAGCCGCAAGGCGAAGCUCUUGAUCGAAGCCCCGGUAAACGGCGGCCGUAACUAUAACGGUCCUAAGGUAGCGAAAUUCCUUGUCGGGUAAGUUCCGACCUGCACGAAUGGCGUAAUGAUGGCCAGGCUGUCUCCACCCGAGACUCAGUGAAAUUGAACUCGCUGUGAAGAUGCAGUGUACCCGCGGCAAGACGGAAAGACCCCGUGAACCUUUACUAUAGCUUGACACUGAACAUUGAGCCUUGAUGUGUAGGAUAGGUGGGAGGCUUUGAAGUGUGGACGCCAGUCUGCAUGGAGCCGACCUUGAAAUACCACCCUUUAAUGUUUGAUGUUCUAACGUGGACCCGUGAUCCGGGUUGCGGACAGUGUCUGGUGGGUAGUUUGACUGGGGCGGUCUCCUCCUAAAGAGUAACGGAGGAGCACGAAGGUUGGCUAAUCCUGGUCGGACAUCAGGAGGUUAGUGCAAUGGCAUAAGCCAGCUUGACUGCGAGCGUGACGGCGCGAGCAGGUGCGAAAGCAGGUCAUAGUGAUCCGGUGGUUCUGAAUGGAAGGGCCAUCGCUCAACGGAUAAAAGGUACUCCGGGGAUAACAGGCUGAUACCGCCCAAGAGUUCAUAUCGACGGCGGUGUUUGGCACCUCGAUGUCGGCUCAUCACAUCCUGGGGCUGAAGUAGGUCCCAAGGGUAUGGCUGUUCGCCAUUUAAAGUGGUACGCGAGCUGGGUUUAGAACGUCGUGAGACAGUUCGGUCCCUAUCUGCCGUGGGCGCUGGAGAACUGAGGGGGGCUGCUCCUAGUACGAGAGGACCGGAGUGGACGCAUCACUGGUGUUCGGGUUGUCAUGCCAAUGGCACUGCCCGGUAGCUAAAUGCGGAAGAGAUAAGUGCUGAAAGCAUCUAAGCACGAAACUUGCCCCGAGAUGAGUUCUCCCUGAGACUUUAAGUCUCCUGAAGGAACGUUGAAGACGACGACGUUGAUAGGCCGGGUGUGUAAGCGCAGCGAUGCGUUGAGCUAACCGGUACUAAUGAACCGUGAGGCUUAACCUUACAACGCCGAAG
RNAcentral lists this ribosomal RNA (2925 nucleotides) under Escherichia marmotae. Its description in RNAcentral is "23S ribosomal RNA". It matches the Rfam family "Bacterial large subunit ribosomal RNA". Lineage: Bacteria; Pseudomonadati; Pseudomonadota; Gammaproteobacteria; Enterobacterales; Enterobacteriaceae. RNAcentral also lists the same sequence under 1 other name. The record is from RNAcentral.